GCGAUCAUACCAGCACUAAUGCACCGGAUCCCAUCAGAACUCCGCAGGUAAACGUGCUUGGGCGAGAGUAGUACUAGGAUGGGUGACCUCCUGGGAAGUCCUCGUGUCGCACACC
RNAcentral lists this ribosomal RNA (115 nucleotides) under Populus tomentosa. The record is from RNAcentral. Lineage: Eukaryota; Viridiplantae; Streptophyta; Magnoliopsida; Malpighiales; Salicaceae.